Molecule: small nucleolar RNA, 108 nt
Organism: Rhododendron vialii
Lineage: Eukaryota; Viridiplantae; Streptophyta; Magnoliopsida; Ericales; Ericaceae
Product: small nucleolar RNA snoR100
Exons: 1
Source: RefSeq, a predicted model, not a curated record
CAACGAAGGAAGCAUGAUAAUGUGCACAGAAAUUGAAUUGGGCCUCUGGGCCUGCCCUCUCUAAUGCCAUUUGGCUUUAAUUUGGGGACAUGGUUCCGCGGCAAAAUA